This 164-nucleotide ribosomal RNA is filed under the name uncultured bacterium. RNAcentral describes it as "partial 16S rRNA". It matches the Rfam family "Bacterial small subunit ribosomal RNA", at positions 355 to 511 of the family's 1533-position model. The record is from RNAcentral.
UAGGGAAUCUUCCACAAUGGACGCAAGCCUGAUGGAGCAACACCGCGUGAGUGAAGAAGGGUUUCGGCUCGUAAAGCUCUGUUGUUAAAGAAGAACACGUAUGAGAGUAACUGUUCAUACGUUGACGGUAUCUAACCAGCAAGUCACGGCUAACUACGUGCCAG